GACGAACGCUGGCGGCGUGCUUAAUACAUGCAAGUCGAGCGAGGUUACUGUUUUGGAUCCCUUCGGGGUGAAGAAGCUUUAACCUAGCGGCGGACGGGUGAGUAACGCGUGGGUAACCUACCCCAAAGUCCGGGAUAACAGCGGGAAACCGCUGCUAAUACCGGAUGCCUUUACCUUGGGGCAUCUUGAGGUAAAGAAAGGUAACGCUUUGGGAUGGGCCCGCGUCCCAUUAGCUAGUUGGUGAGGUAACGGCUCACCAAGGCGACGAUGGGUAGCCGGCCUGAGAGGGUGGACGGCCACACUGGGACUGAGACACGGCCCAGACUCCUACGGGAGGCAGCAGUAGGGAAUAUUGCGCAAUGGACGGAAGUCUGACGCAGCGACGCCGCGUGAGCGAUGAAGGUCUUCGGAUCGUAAAGCUCUGUCCUUGGGGAAGAAGGCGAAAGCUUGACGGUACCCAAGAAGAAAGCCCCGGCUAACUACGUG
This 486-nucleotide ribosomal RNA is filed under the name uncultured bacterium. Its description in RNAcentral is "bacterial SSU rRNA". It matches the Rfam family "Bacterial small subunit ribosomal RNA", at positions 28 to 507 of the family's 1533-position model. RNAcentral also lists the same sequence under 1 other name. The record is from RNAcentral.